RNAcentral lists this ribosomal RNA (253 nucleotides) under uncultured bacterium. Its description in RNAcentral is "partial 16S ribosomal RNA". It matches the Rfam family "Bacterial small subunit ribosomal RNA", at positions 524 to 776 of the family's 1533-position model. The record is from RNAcentral.
UCCAGAGGUCUCAAGCGUUGUUCGGAUUCAUUGGGCGUAAAGGGUGCGUAGGUGGCGCCAUAAGUCAGGUGUGAAAUCUCGGGGCUCAACCCCGAAACUGCAUUUGAUACUGUGGUGCUCGAGUACUGGAGAGGAGAUUGGAAUUUACGGUGUAGCAGUGAAAUGCGUAGAUAUCGUAAGGAAGACCAGUGGCGAAGGCGAAUCUCUGGACAGUUACUGACACUGAGGCACGAAGGCCAGGGGAGCAAACGGG